AAGAACAGUUUACUCUGUUCAGUGAGUUCUAUUUUCUUGUUGUCGGUGGAAUAAUUUGGAUUAUGGUGAAGAAGAUAGCAAUGCUUGUGGGCACACUCAGUUUGGUAGAGUGUAUGAGAAAGGUGGGAAAUUUUUGAUCUCAUAUUUGAUCUUUAAACUCUGUUAAAGAAGUAGAUGAGGGAUUAUUUAGUCCUCCUCUUCUUCAGCUUUGAUCAAUUGUUUGACGUUUGUAUUUGCAAUUUGUGAUAUGUAGGGCAUUACCCUGAAUGGUAUGAGCAUCAGUUUCGUCGGAUGUGAAUUGAAAGUCCGUAUAAUUUUCUAACUUUGUGAUUGAUUUCCCACUGUCAAAAACAGGAAAAGAAUUACAGCAUUGGUGAAGUGCAGAGCAUGUUUUGGGAGAUGGCCAAGUGGGAUAACUCGAACGAUUUGCAGUGGCUUCGUGGACAGUCAAGCGAUGUGGGCAGCUAGCACGAUGGAGAUGAAUGGGGUUCAAUUCGCGGCCAGAUUGAUCCUUUUCCUUAUUAAAUAAAUCUAUGAUCAUCUAUCUCACUCUCAAUGUUCUUGCACAAACUCUAUACCAUUUCACUCUCUCAGAGGCGGCCACCUUGGUUUUUUCUCUUUAUUUUAAUCACAAUUAAUAUUGCUCAUUUAUGGUUUAGCUGUUUGGGUGAUUUUAUUAAUAUUCAAGAAUUGGGUUUCUGUAUAAUUGAUGGUCAAAGUUCUGAUUUUUAUGAGCUUGGAGCUGUGAUAUUCAAUUUUUCCAGAUGUGGUUUUUAUUGUUGGGAUUAGUUCAUGUUUUGUUCUUGAGGUAUUUGUUUAAAUUUGUUUGUUGCUUGUGUUAAUUUGAGUUUUUCUUUGUCUUUGGAAUGACCGAAUGAACAGUUGUUAUAUGUGGCUAUCGAGUUUGUAUAGUCCCGUUCACCUACCCACCGUGGGCACGCAUUAACGUGCCCACCGCUGAUGUGGCAAUGCCAC
Molecule: long non-coding RNA, 975 nt
Filed under: Salvia miltiorrhiza (redroot sage)
Lineage: Eukaryota; Viridiplantae; Streptophyta; Magnoliopsida; Lamiales; Lamiaceae
Description: long non-coding RNA (SMIL_LNC007896)
Source: RNAcentral